Molecule: small nucleolar RNA, 136 nt
Organism: Echinops telfairi (small Madagascar hedgehog)
Lineage: Eukaryota; Metazoa; Chordata; Mammalia; Afrosoricida; Tenrecidae
Source: Ensembl
UUGGCCCUGAAUCAGGGCUAACAGUUUGCCGAAGCUGUUGGCUUCAAGCAGGAACCUGAAGAAAUGUCUGCCUAUGGUCUGCUGGCCAUUUCAGAACUGGGAAAUGUCAUGGUCAACUCAUCAGAAAGAAACAUCU